UACGGAGGGAGCUAGCGUUGUUCGGAAUUACUGGGCGUAAAGCGCGCGUAGGCGGCUUUGUAAGUUAGAGGUGAAAGCCCGGGGCUCAACCCCGGAACUGCCUUUAAGACUGCAUCGCUUGAAUCUGGGAGAGGUGAGUGGAAUUCCGAGUGUAGAGGUGAAAUUCGUAGAUAUUCGGAAGAACACCAGUGGCGAAGGCGGCUCACUGGACCGGUAUUGACGCUGAGGUGCGAAAGCGUGGGGAGCAAACAGG
RNAcentral lists this ribosomal RNA (253 nucleotides) under uncultured bacterium. Its description in RNAcentral is "partial 16S ribosomal RNA". It matches the Rfam family "Bacterial small subunit ribosomal RNA", at positions 524 to 776 of the family's 1533-position model. The record is from RNAcentral.